This 58-nucleotide transfer RNA is filed under the name Salmo salar (Atlantic salmon). It matches the Rfam family "tRNA", at positions 8 to 63 of the family's 71-position model. Rfam says of the family: Transfer RNA (tRNA) molecules are approximately 80 nucleotides in length. Their secondary structure includes four short double-helical elements and three loops (D, anti-codon, and T loops). Further hydrogen bonds mediate the characteristic L-shaped molecular structure. tRNAs have two regions of fundamental functional importance: the anti-codon, which is responsible for specific mRNA codon recognition, and the 3' end, to which the tRNAs corresponding amino acid is attached (by aminoacyl-tRNA synthetases). tRNAs cope with the degeneracy of the genetic code in two manners: having more than one tRNA (with a specific anti-codon) for a particular amino acid; and 'wobble' base-pairing, i.e. permitting non-standard base-pairing at the 3rd anti-codon position. RNAcentral also lists the same sequence under 1 other name. Lineage: Eukaryota; Metazoa; Chordata; Actinopteri; Salmoniformes; Salmonidae. The record is from Rfam by way of RNAcentral.
UAGCUCAGUUGGUAGAGCAUGGUGUUUGCAACGCCAGGGUUGUGGGUUCGAUUCCCAG